RNAcentral lists this small RNA (36 nucleotides) under Arabidopsis thaliana (thale cress). RNAcentral's name for it is "ATSL142840". Lineage: Eukaryota; Viridiplantae; Streptophyta; Magnoliopsida; Brassicales; Brassicaceae. The record is from RNAcentral.
GAAAGAGAGAAAGAGAGAGAGAGAGAGAGAGAAUGU